CAUCAGGCGACCCAGUAGAUACUUUCGCAUUCGGACAUGAAGCGCUGCUCUUUCGCCUGUAUGCUGGUGUGGGCCAUCGUGCUGCAGAUCUGUCUGACGGAGGGAAUCGGCUUCAAGAAGCUUCCUUUCAACGGUGCCAUGUACGGAAAGAGGACCAGCUCCGUGGAUUACGACUCGUCGAAUCGUGCAAUAUCGUCCCUGUGUGAGACGGCAUCCGAAGUGUGCUCCUCUUGGUACAGCCAACCGGACAGCAAUUGACAUCGUAUUAGCUCUCUUUCUGUUAUUUAUCUGAUGUGAAAC
Molecule: long non-coding RNA, 300 nt
Filed under: Schistocerca americana (American grasshopper)
Lineage: Eukaryota; Metazoa; Arthropoda; Insecta; Orthoptera; Acrididae
Description: uncharacterized LOC124605190
Source: RNAcentral